This 75-nucleotide microRNA precursor is filed under the name Mus caroli (Ryukyu mouse). Its description in RNAcentral is "miRNA (MGP_CAROLIEiJ_G0007951.1)". The record is from RNAcentral. Lineage: Eukaryota; Metazoa; Chordata; Mammalia; Rodentia; Muridae.
CCUCGACUCACUUUGUAGACCAGGCUGGCCUCAAACUCACAGAGAUCUGCCCACCUCUGCCUCCUUGAGUGCAGG